GCUCAGUAUAAGAGGAUUGAUGUUUUGUUAAGGUAGAAGGAAGACGCAGGUAAAGAGAACCAACAACUAUCUAGGCAAUUAGAUGAGAUUAAACAAGAUUAUGGAGACACAUCUAGAGAGACUUAGAGAUGAAUUAAAGAAGGAGAAGGAAGAAAGUCGCUUUGAGAGAGGGAGACGACUAAAGAGUGAAAAGGCCAUAAAGGACUCUUACAACAAUGUUGAGCAAGCCCAAUUGUCUUUUUGUGCCCCAUACCAUUUCGGUGAUUUGUUUGGUUUAAUAUCUUGUAAAGCAAUGUCUUAUUAUGAUAUGUACUAGAAGACUCAAAGAUUAUAUUUUGAAAUAUUAUUGUACCAUUAGGUUUUAUUCAUACA
Molecule: long non-coding RNA, 372 nt
Organism: Vigna radiata var. radiata (mung bean)
Lineage: Eukaryota; Viridiplantae; Streptophyta; Magnoliopsida; Fabales; Fabaceae
Exons: 3
Source: RefSeq, a predicted model, not a curated record